Molecule: small nucleolar RNA, 136 nt
Filed under: Ornithorhynchus anatinus (platypus)
Lineage: Eukaryota; Metazoa; Chordata; Mammalia; Monotremata; Ornithorhynchidae
Description: H/ACA-box snoRNA Oa1858
Rfam family: Small nucleolar RNA SNORA33
About the family: ACA33 is a member of the H/ACA class of snoRNA that guide the sites of modification of uridines to pseudouridines.
Source: RNAcentral
UAAGCCAGUAUACUUCAUCUGCUUAACUGAACGUGUUUUGCAGAAGGGAUGUGUGAAUAUGCUGGCAAUAUCAUAGCCUGGGUACGAGCCUUGAAGACUCUGUAGUCAUUAAGGUCCCUGAAAUUGGCAACAUCUC